GAUCCUGGCUCAGAUUGAACGCUGGCGGCAUGCCUACACAUGCAAGUCGAACGGUAGAGGGGCAACCCUUGAGAGUGGCGAACGGGUGAGUAAUAUAUCGGAACGUGCCCAGUCGUGGGGGAUAACGUAGCGAAAGUUACGCUAAUACCGCAUACGAUCUAAGGAUGAAAGCGGGGGAUCGCAAGACCUCGCGCGAUUGGAGCGGCCGAUAUCAGAUUAGGUAGUUGGUGAGGUAAAGGCUCACCAAGCCAACGAUCUGUAGCUGGUCUGAGAGGACGACCAGCCACACUGGAACUGAGACACGGUCCAGACUCCUACGGGAGGCAGCAGUGGGGAAUUUUGGACAAUGGACGCAAGUCUGAUCCAGCCAUUCCGCGUGCAGGAUGAAGGCCCUCGGGUUGUAAACUGCUUUGUACGGAACGAAAAGGUUUCUCUUAAUACGAGGAGCUCAUGACGGUACCGUAAGAAUAAGCACCGGCUAACUACGUG
This 489-nucleotide ribosomal RNA is filed under the name uncultured bacterium. Its description in RNAcentral is "bacterial SSU rRNA". It matches the Rfam family "Bacterial small subunit ribosomal RNA", at positions 15 to 507 of the family's 1533-position model. The record is from RNAcentral.